Molecule: ribosomal RNA, 421 nt
Filed under: uncultured bacterium
Lineage: Bacteria
Description: bacterial SSU rRNA
Rfam family: Bacterial small subunit ribosomal RNA
Source: RNAcentral
UAAGGAAUAUUGGUCAAUGGACGCAAGUCUGAACCAGCCAUGCCGCGUGAAGGAUGAAGGUCCUCUGGAUUGUAAACUUCUUUUAUCUGGGACGAAAACGGGAUUUUUAUCUCAAUUGACGGUACCAGAGGAAUAAGCACCGGCUAACUCCGUGCCAGCAGCCGCGGUAAUACGGAGGGUGCAAGCGUUAUCCGGAUUCACUGGGUUUAAAGGGUGCGUAGGUGGGCAGAUAAGUCAGUGGUGAAAUCUUCCGGCUUAACCGGGAAACUGCCGUUGAUACUAUUUGUCUUGAAUAUUGCGGAGGUAAGCGGAAUAUGUCAUGUAGCGGUGAAAUGCUUAGAUAUGACAUAGAACACCAAUUGCGAAGGCAGCUUACUACACAAUCAUUGACACUGAGGCACAAAAGCGUGGGUAGCGAACA